Molecule: ribosomal RNA, 490 nt
Filed under: uncultured bacterium
Lineage: Bacteria
Description: partial 16S ribosomal RNA
Rfam family: Bacterial small subunit ribosomal RNA
Source: RNAcentral
AUUGAACGCUGGCGGCAGGCCUAACACAUGCAAGUCGAAUGGUAACAGGAAACAGCUUGCUGUUUCGCUGACGAGUGGCGGACGGGUGAGUAAUGUCUGGGAAACUGCCUGAUGGAGGGGGAUAACUACUGGAAACGGUAGCUAAUACCGCAUAACGUCGCAAGACCAAAGAGGGGGACCUUCGGGCCUCUUGCCAUCAGAUGUGCCCAGAUGGGAUUAGCUAGUAGGUGGGGUAACGGCUCACCUAGGCGACGAUCCCUAGCUGGUCUGAGAGGAUGACCAGCCACACUGGAACUGAGACACGGUCCAGACUCCUACGGGAGGCAGCAGUGGGGAAUAUUGCACAAUGGGCGCAAGCCUGAUGCAGCCAUGCCGCGUGUAUGAAGAAGGCCUUCGGGUUGUAAAGUACUUUCAGCGGGGAGGAAGGAAGUAAAGUUAAUACCUUUGCUCAUUGACGUUACCCGCAGAAGAAGCACCGGCUAACUCCGUG